AAAGGCAGUGAGCGUCUUUCCUUGGGCUGCGUGUGCCGAGCGUAGACAAUGAAAAUCUUCAUCCCCCUCCCCCAUUCCACUAGGCUACAAGAUUCUUGUUUUCAUUCCUUCUCACCGGUGGAAGAUGUGUAAAAUCAAAGAUAUAGAGGUGUGUAGUGAUUUUUUUAAAAGCCAACUAACCCACCGCACGGGCUGCGACGCGGAUUACCCGAGCGCACGCCGGCUGGGCGCAUUCUGGGGUCUCUGCGCAAGACCAGCUCUCAGCUCUCUCUCCUUUCCUCGGACUCUGGAGCGGGAGCGGGCCUUUCCCUCUGGCCGACCACGCCGUAGGGGACGCCGUGAAAAGAGCCGUCGCGCCCGCUGCCUCCUGCCCGCUGCGCAGAGGGCUCCGCCCGUAGAGGUCAACUUCCCUCACCCUUUCCUCUCUCCUGCUUGCCCUCCCUCCGCCCGGCACAGGCGCUUCCAGCCCCAGACUCUGGCCACUGGCUGAGGACUGCGAGUCGGCUGCGCUGCCCUGAGCCUAAUCCUUCCUCCGGGCCCAGACCCGAGGUCCGCGCUCCUGGGCAGUGGGGAAGCUUUAGUGAGCAGGCUUUUCUCUCCGCAGCAAACUCGUAGCCAGACCAGAUGGGCCGCCCAGCUCUCUCGGGACUAGGCAGGUGCGGUUGAGUUAAUUUUUCCGCAUUACAAAGAAAGAUGACCCAGCCUGCCCUUGGACUCUCUUUACCCAAAAUCUCCCAACCAAACCCGCGGUAACGUUAUCAGAGGACACAGAGACCAGGCAUAUCUGUGUGUUUAUCUUACAGGCACACACGUAUGGUUUUCUCUUUUAUAUGCUAGAUUUCAUCUCUGACAGCAGAAAAUGAUUGGCAACGGUUCUGACGGAGAACAUGCAAUAGCGUGGUCCUUAAAAACCUGCCAUUCCUUACAAGUGCCUUAGAAAGGAUUCAGGGCGAACCAACUGGGUUAAUUGCAUUCAGUAAAAUAACACGAUUACAAAAUUA
This 1001-nucleotide long non-coding RNA is filed under the name Pongo abelii (Sumatran orangutan). RNAcentral's name for it is "lincRNA". The record is from RNAcentral. Lineage: Eukaryota; Metazoa; Chordata; Mammalia; Primates; Hominidae.